Long non-coding RNA from Homo sapiens (human), 670 nucleotides. The record is from Ensembl. Lineage: Eukaryota; Metazoa; Chordata; Mammalia; Primates; Hominidae.
GUGGCAAUUUGGAGCUUCAAUAAAAUGAGGGAAAAAUGAAAACAGCUUAAUAGGUGCUUGUGCUGGAAACCUAAUUACAUAAAGAUUAUUCCAGGUGUCCAAGGCAGGGUUGAUGAAAGAAUCGCCUAGGAAAGUUACGCUGAAAAUUGUCGGGAAAUGGAAGGAUUCAAGAGACAUUUGAAAGACAGAAUUGGUACUAUUGAAUGACCACUUGGACACAGGGGAUGAAAAUGAGGAAAUAUAGAAGGACUAUGACUAGAUGGGGAUGCCAUCAACACAAGAAAAGGAGGAGGAACAGAUUUGAGAAGACACUAUUCUUACUGAGUAUCACCACUCAUUUUUAUGAUACUUCUAGCAGGAUGAAUAAUCUGAUAUCAUGUGAAAUGAGGAAAUAAGAAGCUUUCUGCUGACUUCAUUUUGACCCAGGGUCCAAAAGGUGAUGUAAUCCUGUGGCAAGAAGGUAAAGCUAUAUUCUUGUCCGUACCAGAUGAAAGUGAACUAUCUCUGCUUCAUCAUUCACAACUGUCCUAAUAAAUGGCCACAAGUCCCUUUGUAUUCCAGGAGGUAGACUCAAGUAGGCACUUCCUCGAGGGUACUCAGAUUUCCUUUAACUGUGUCUGAGAACGCAUUCAUAUCUGGAAAUUGGAUACCGUCUCUCUUUUCUAGACAU